UCAGUGCCUGCAACUUCUUCUCUUCUCUUGGAUACAGGUAAUUGUUUUGGCGUGGUGCAGAAGCCCAGGAAAAAGCCCAGACUCUACUUUUAGGAUGAAAUGGUAGAAGGAACAAACAGUGAGAAGAGAUUGGAAAUUUGAAGGCAAAUGCUGGAAUAUUUGAUGUUUUUGUUUCUAGUGUUGCUUUUGAUGCAAGAUGAAUGUAACUUGCAUGUAAAUUUUGAGGUGCUUCUCAAUGUAAAUCAUACGAUAUUGUAUUUGAUUUGAUGCUGUGGUAAAUGGUCUUACAAUUUUGGUAUAUA
This is a long non-coding RNA of Panicum virgatum (switchgrass), 302 nucleotides long. RefSeq lists it as uncharacterized. Lineage: Eukaryota; Viridiplantae; Streptophyta; Magnoliopsida; Poales; Poaceae. The transcript is spliced from 2 exons. The record is from RefSeq and is a predicted model, not a curated record.